This 444-nucleotide ribosomal RNA is filed under the name Trigonopterus asper. RNAcentral's name for it is "partial large subunit ribosomal RNA". The record is from RNAcentral. Lineage: Eukaryota; Metazoa; Arthropoda; Insecta; Coleoptera; Curculionidae.
GUCUUGUUGAUGAUAAUUUCAAGUCGGACCUGCCCACUGAUUAGUUAAAUGGCCGCGGUAUAUUGACCGUGCAAAGGUAGCAUAAUCAUUAGUUUUUUAAUUAAAAGCUUGUAUGAAGGGUUUGAUGAGAGAGUGACUGUCUCAAUUAAAUUUUAUUAAAAUUUUAUUUUUAAGUAAAAAAGCUUAAAUAUAUAUAGAAGACGAGAAGACCCUAUAGAGUUUUAUAAAUUGUGUGAUAUUUAGGUAUGAGGUUUUAUUUGUUUAAAUUUUAUUAUUAUUUAUUUUGUUGGGGUGACAGGAAAAUUAAGUUAACUUUUCUUUAUUAAAUUAUAUUUAUUUGUAUGUUUAUGAUCCUAGUGUAUAGAUUACAAGAUCAAAUUACCUUAGGGAUAACGGCGUAAUUUUUUUUAGAGUGCUUAUCGAAAAAGUAGAUUGCGACCUCGA